GGUUUAAUUCGAAGCAACGCGAAGAACCUUACCAAGUCUUGACAUCCCGAUGACAGAACAUGUAAUGUGUUUUCUCUUCGGAGCAUCGGUGACAGGUGGUGCAUGGUUGUCGUCAGCUCGUGUCGUGAGAUGUUGGGUUAAGUCCCGCAACGAGCGCAACCCCUAUUCUUAGUAGCCAGCGGGUAAGCCGGGCACUCUAGGGAGACUGCCAGGGAUAACCUGGA
This 224-nucleotide ribosomal RNA is filed under the name uncultured bacterium. RNAcentral describes it as "partial 16S ribosomal RNA". It matches the Rfam family "Bacterial small subunit ribosomal RNA", at positions 943 to 1167 of the family's 1533-position model. The record is from RNAcentral.